GUAAUACGAAGGGACCUAGCGUAGUUCGGAAUUACUGGGCUUAAAGAGUUCGUAGGUGGUUGAAAAAGUUGGUGGUGAAAUCCCAGAGCUUAACUCUGGAACUGCCAUCAAAACUUUUCAGCUAGAGUUUGAUAGAGGAAAGCAGAAUUUCUAGUGUAGAGGUGAAAUUCGUAGAUAUUAGAAAGAAUACCAAUUGCGAAGGCAGCUUUCUGGAUCAUUACUGACACUGAGGAACGAAAGCAUGGGUAGCGAAGAGGAUUAGAUACCCUCGUAGUCCAUGCCGUAAACGAUGUGUGUUAGACGUUGGAAAUUUAUUUUCAGUGUCGCAGCGAAAGCGAUAAACACACCGCCUGGGGAGUACGACCGCAAGGUUAAAACUCAAAUGAAUUGACGGGGACCCGCACAAGUAGUGGAGCAUGUGGUUUAAUUCGAAGAUACGCGCAGAACCUUACCAACACUUGACAUGUUCGUCGCGACUUUAAGAGAUUAAAGUUUUCGGUUCGGCCGGACGAAACACAGGUGCUGCAUGGCUGUCGUCAGCUCGUGUCGUGAGAUGUUGGGUUAAGUCCCGCAACGAGCGCAACCCUCACUUUUAGUUGCCAUCAUUUAGUUGGGCACUCUGAAAGAACUGCCAGUGAUAAGCUGGAGGAAGGUGGGGAUGACGUCAAGUCCUCAUGGCCCUUACGUGUUGGGCUACACACGUGCUACAAUGGUAUUUACAACAGGAAGCAAGACGGCGACGUUUAGCAAAUCCUUAAAAAAUACCUCAGUUCGGAUUGCACUCUGCAACUCGAGUGCAUGAAGCUGGAAUUACUAGUAAUCGUGGAUCAGCGUGCCACGGUGAAUGCGUUCCCGGGUCUUGUACACACCGCCCGUCACACCAUGGGAGUUGGUUCUACCUUAAGGCAAGGUUUAAUACCCUUGACCACGGUAUAGUCAGCGACUGGGGUGAAGUCAUAACAAGGUAACCGUA
This 973-nucleotide ribosomal RNA is filed under the name uncultured bacterium. RNAcentral's name for it is "bacterial SSU rRNA". It matches the Rfam family "Bacterial small subunit ribosomal RNA", at positions 520 to 1504 of the family's 1533-position model. The record is from RNAcentral.